CGCACUUUAUGCGUAAAGUUACUCACAGGAGAGAAGUGCAGGAGAUCCCGGAAAUUAUGGAGCAUCAAAUGUUUGGCGCGGAUAGCGGAGGUAAUGGAAAUAAUGAGAAAAGAAGAAAAGUGUGGAUUAUGUCUUUGAAACUGACGAUGAAAAGGGAAAUCUUCUGGCAAGAAGAAACAUAAGGUGUGAAUAUAACCUCAUGAUCGUCCAGAUCUCCAGACAGAAACUCACAUCCUCCUCAAAGAUCCAGUCAAGCGUCACAAUAUAAAUGCUGCUUGAUUCUGCAAACACAACAAUGCAGACUCAUUGUCUAAUUGUGAAUGAACAUGAUAAAUAAAGUCAAAUAAACAUCUACUUCAGCC
Cyprinus carpio carpio is the source of this 362-nucleotide long non-coding RNA. The record is from Ensembl. NCBI's taxonomy places the organism in Eukaryota, Metazoa, Chordata, Actinopteri, Cypriniformes, Cyprinidae.